This is a non-coding RNA of Pelobates cultripes (western spadefoot toad), 327 nucleotides long. The record is from the annotation of a GenBank genome assembly. Lineage: Eukaryota; Metazoa; Chordata; Amphibia; Anura; Pelobatidae.
ACAAGGAAGUGUGUAAUCUCUGCCUUAGCUACACAUACUGAAGGGGCCGGACUGUGGGUGGCCAGGGACUCUUAUUUUGUGGCAUACUGCAUGAACAUGGUGCAACACUGAAUGGAGGGACAGUGCCAGGGCACUCCAGGCACUAUAACCAAUUCAAAGAGAUGAAAUGCUUAUAGUGACUACAUUGUCCCUUUAAGGACACAUGACAUGAGUGACAUGUCAUGAUUCCCUUUUAUUCCAGAAGUUUGGUCCUUAAGGGGUUAAUGAGCACACAAAAGAAACAGCACUCAUGCAGCAAAACAACUCCUCGUCAGAGGAAAACAAAAU